CUUCGGAGGAGUUAGCGAAAUUCCAAUGUGUGCGGAUCGGCAAAAAAUGCGAAAUAACCCUUUAACCGUACAUUUGACAGAUACGCCCACACUGACUUUUUUGUAGAUCUUAUUGAGAUACAUGUGUGUGUCAAUUUAUGUGUCAUUUUGACAAAGCGUACCGGCGUGACAGUGAAUAGUGUGAAUUUUCACCUUAGGGGGCGCUAUGGAGCCAUUUUGCAUUUUCUUGUUUGGGCGACUUCGGAAUAUCAAAUUUUUCACCAGGCCUGGUCGUCCUGCCAAAUUUCAUGAGUUUUCGCCAGUGGGAAGUGGGCCAUUUUCCAGUUCAAAGGGGAGGAAAAAUAAUAAUAAUAAUAACAAAAGAAGGAAACUACAGGAACAAGAGGGCUCUCGCAGCUGCUUAGCAGCUACGCUCGGGCCCUAACUAGGACCCCGUUGGGGCACUGGCGGGCCCGAGCCGUGUCGCCCCCCCCCCCCCCCAACGUGCUGCCUCCCCGUCCCACUUGUGUCCUCUGGCCAUCGCCCUCUCUGGUAACGCCCAUCACUGCAAAGACCCUUUUCCUUCAUCGGCGUUUGCUGUUCUUCCUGCCAGUGCGUGUUGCUUUCACUUACACUUGCCACAGCCAGCCUCGUGAGUGCCUAGCCUAUUCGAUAUCACUGUCACCUUCACAGGACAGUUAUUACCUUUCUAUUAAUACUUUGUGUUUUAAUUUCACAUUAAUUUCCAUAUUGUAUAAACGACUGGAAAAAACUUGAGCCCCUGCCCCUGUAUAAUCAUGUGCAUGUCUCUGUUCUAGCUCCAAGGUGAAUCUUCACUGCUCAUGUUCUCCUCAGAAGCACUCACCUCACUCCCCUCAGGUUACUGUACACAUGCACCAACUGCCUGCUUCAGGUUUGGAUGGAGCUUCAUGGUUGUCUUUUGGAGAAAUGACCAGUCAAGUUGUGUUUGAAAUUUGAUUUUUUUCAGGGGCAAAAGGAGCCUCUGCAUUCUUGUCAAAUAUGUAAAUAGCAUGUUUUUGCAGGUGCUAAAAACCAGACUCUGAGUGUGUGUGUGUGUGUGUGUGUGUGUGUGUGUGUGUGUGUGUGUGUGUGUGCGUGUGUGUGUGUCUGUGUGUGCGUUCAAGUCACAUGACAUAUUUAACCGGAUGUAGCUGCAAGACGGAGCCUCGUUGACUCUCCGUUUCAACUUAUCUCAAAAGUGAGGACCUCAACCUAUAUACCAGUUUUUAAAUUGUGUUGAUAGGCCAAAUAAAACCAGAGUUAUGAUAAAUUAUGUCCGCGAUACUUUUUUUCUGCUUAUUUUGAUCACGUUCGGCGCUCGAUCGCGCUGUAUGAGACAGGAAAACAUAGCAUGCAGACAUUAGCGACAGGUCUUACAGGCGGAAAAGGCUUGCCAAAAGAAAAAAAACAACACACCACAACAUCUCUCCUAUUGGUGGAAAACUUCACCACAACAACCAAUCCAAAAUUAUAUGGUGACUGAUUGACAAGGGGCGGGCGCUUACGUUCUUCCUGCAAUAUGAGAAGGGAGGGAGGGACUCUCAGCAGGGAUGCAGUCUGGGACACGUAGUUGCAAACCUAGCGACUUUGUUGUUAGAUUCAAUGACUUUUCAGACCCCCAACGACUUUUUUUUUAGAAAGAAAGGGAAUUUUAUCGACUUCUUCUGGAGUUUAGAGACUCUGACAUGAAGCAGGCUUUCCUUACUGAGGAGUUGGCAACGCUGCUAAGGGUGCAGAGCCACACAUGCGCUCCGAGCUCUGCUUGGGAGACUGAAGCUGACAGAGCUGCAGCAGUUAGCAGGUUUCACCCUCAGAGACCACCAGGGGUUCAUGUUGAGGCAUUUUCAGUUUUUUUUUUUUUUUUGCCAUAGACACUGUCAGCACAAUCUGCAGUUACACUAACAAAAAUGCUGCAAAAAACAAAGAAUUAUGGAAAAAUUACACAUGGACUGACAUAGAGGAGGAUCUACACAAGUUUUUUACAUCAUGUUUUACAUCAUGCAUCAUUUACAUCAUGUUUUUUUGUAGUGGCAUAAAUAAAAAGUGACAUUUGUGAGACUAUACAGUGUUUUGUAAAUAAUUUUACAAAGAACGCCUGGGCCAUUGCCUGCAUUUUGAUGUAAAUAGGGGUAAAUUACUAUGUUCUUUGUUAAAAAUUUGCAUAUGUUUUGAAGUUUACAAUUUUUAUUUGAAGUUUAAGUUUUAAAAACAGUUCAUCACACAUAUUUGUGGUUUUCAGAGUAAAAAUGUUACUUUUUUCCACUCGGAUUUUAUGUUUUGUGUGUGAAUUUGGGUCCAUUGUGUAAAUACAGUAUGUCAAAAUGAUAAAAUAACUGUAAAUUCACACAGGUGAGUUUGUGCUGAAAAAAAUGAUACCAGGCAAGGCAAGGUAAAAAUUUUGUAAGAGGGAAUAUAAAGGUAAAAUCUAAAGUAGUCAAAAACGGCCAAUAGUGACUCACAGACUCCACAGACAAGUCCCUUUGGCGCCACUCAGUGGGCAAAACUACUUUGUCUACUGUAAUGUAUAUUUGGGUCAUCUUUGGCGCCCCCUAGAACGUAAACCGUGGGGUGCAGCGUCAUGAUUUGUACAACUUUGAAUGGCCAUGGGGUGUAGAUUGACCUGACCAAAUUUGAAGCCGAUGGGACAAAAGCUUUAGGAGGAGUUAGCCACAUUCCAAUGUGUGCGAAUCGGCAAAAAAUGCGAAAUAGCCCUUUAACCGUACAUUGAACAGAUACGCUCGCAUUGACUUUUUCGUAGAUCUUAUUGAGAUACAUGUGUGUGUCAAAUUUUGUGUCAUUUUGACAAAGCGUAAAGGCGUGACAGUCAACAAUGUGUAUUUUCGCCUUAGGAGACAAGAAAAAAUGGACUUUUUUCUCCUGCCAUGGGGGGGCGCUCUUUUGGCGAGUAAAAAUUCCUUCACAAAUGUGUUGAUGGCUGGACAUUGCAUCAUCCUAGAAAACUUGGAGGCCAGUGAGGGCAAAAAUAAAAAGUUAUAAGACUUUUAAAUAUGUGGAUCUUAGGGUUAUCUUUGGCGCCCCCUAGAACCUAAACCGUGGGGUGCAGCGUCAUGAUUUGAAUAACUUUUAAUGGCCAUGGGGUGUAGAUUGGCCUGAGCAAAUGUGGUGCCGGUGGAACGAAAGCCUUCGGAGGAGUUAGCGAAAUUCCAAUGUGUGCGGAUCGGCAAAAAAUGCGAAAUAACCCUUUAACCGUACAUUUGACAGAUACGCCCGCACUGACUUUUUUGUAGAUCUUAUUGAGAUACAUGUGUGUGUCAAUUUUUGUGUCAUUUUGACAAAGCGUACCGGCGUGACAGUGAAUAGUGUGAAUUUUCACCUUAGGGGGCGCUAUGGAGCCAUUUUGCAUUUUCUUGUUUGGGCGACUUCGGAAUAUCAAAUUUUUCACCAGGCCCGGUCGUCCUGCCAAAUUUCAUGAGUUUUCGCCAGUGGGAAGUGGGCCAUUUUCCAGUUCAAAGGGGAGGAAAAAUAAUAAUAAUAACAAAAGAAGGAAACUACAGGAACAAGAGGGCUCUCGCAGCUGCUUAGCAGCUACGCUCGGGCCCUAAUAAUAAUAACAAAGAAGGACUACAGGAACAAGAGGGCUCUCGCAGCUGCAGCAGCUACGGCGGGCCCUAAAGAAAGAAAGAAAGAAACAAAGAACUAGGACCCCGUUGGGGCACUGGCGGGCCCGAGCUGUGUCGCCCCCCCAACGCGCUGCCUCCCCGUCCCAUUUGUGUCCUCUGGCCAUCGCCCUCUCUAGUAACGCCCAUCACUGCAAAGACCCUUUUCCUUCAUCGGCGUUUGCUGUUCUUCCUGCCAGUGCGUGUUGCUUUCACUAACACUUGCCACAGCCGGCCUCGUGAGUGCCUAGCCUAUUCGAUAUCACUGUCACCUACACAGGACAGUCAUUACCUUUCUAUUAAUACUUUGUGUUUUAAUUUCACAUUAAUUUCCAUAUUGUAUAAACGACUGGAAAAAACUUGAGCCCCUGCCCCUGUAUAAUCAUGUGCAUGUCUCUGUUCUAGCUCCAAGGUGAAUCUUCACUGCUCAUGUUCUCCUCAGAAGCACUCACCUCACUCCCCUCAGGUUACUGUACACAUGCACCAACUGCCUGCUUCAGGUUUGGAUGGAGCUUCAUGGUUGUCUUUUGGAGAAAUGACCAGUCAAGUUGUGUUUGAAAUUUGAUUUUUUUCAGGGGCAAAAGGAGCCUCUGCAUUCUUGUCAAAUAUGUAAAUAGCAUGUUUUUGCAGGUGCUAAAAACCAGACUCUGAGUGUGUGUGUGUGUGUGUGUGUGUGUGUGUGUGUGUGUGUGUGUGUGCGUGUGUGUGUGUCUGUGUGUGCGUUCAAGUCACAUGACAUAUUUAACCGGAUGUAGCUGCAAGACGGAGCCUCGUUGACUCUCCGUUUCAACUUAUCUCAAAAGUGAGGACCUCAACCUAUAUACCAGUUUUUAAAUUGUGUUGAUAGGCCAAAUAAAACCAGAGUUAUGAUAAAUUAUGUCCGCGAUACUUUUUUCUGCUUAUUUUGAUCACGUUCGGCGCUCGAUCGCGCUGUAUGAGACAGGAAAACAUAGCAUGCAGACAUUAGCGACAGGUCUUACAGGCGGAAAAGGCUUGCCAAAGAAAAAAAAAACACACCACAACAUCUCUCCUAUUGGUGGAAAACUUCACCACAACAACCAAUCCAAAAUUAUAUGGUGACUGAUUGACAAGGGGCGGGCGCUUACGUUCUUCCUGCAACAUGAGAAGGGAGGGAGGGACUCUCAGCAGGGAUGCAGUCUGGGACACGUAGUUGCAAACCUAGCGACUUUGUUGUUAGAUUCAAUGACUUUUCAGACCCCCUAACGACUUUUUUUUAGAAAGAAAGGGACUUUUAUCGACUUCUUCUGGAGUUUAGAGACUCUGACAUGAAGCAGGCUUUCCUUACUGAGGAGUUAGCAACGCUGCUAAGGGUGCAGAGCCACACAUGCGCUCAGAGCUCUGCAUGGGAGACUGAAGCUGACAGAGCUGCAGCAGUUAGCAGGUUUCACCCUCAGAGACCACCAGGGGUUCAUGUUGAGGCAUUUUAGUUUUUUUUUUUUUGUGCCAUAGACACUGUCAGCACAAUCUGCAGUUACACUAACAAAAAUGCUGCAAAAAACAAAGAAUUAUGGAAAAAUUACACAUGGACUGACAUAGAGGAGGAUCUACACAAGUUUUUUACAUCAUGUUUUACAUCAUGCAUCAUUUACAUCAUGUUUUUUUGUAGUGGCAUAAAUAAAAAGUGACAUUUGUGAGACUAUACAGUGUUUUGUAAAUAAUUUUACAAAGAACGCCUGGGCCAUUGCCUGCAUUUUGAUGUAAAUAGAGGUAAAUCACUAUGUUCUUUGUUAAAAAUUUGCAUAUGUUUUGAAGUUCACAAUUUUUAUUUGAAGUUUAAGUUUUAAAAACAGUUCAUCACACAUAUUUGUGGUUUUCACAGUAAAAAUGUUACUUUUUUCCACUCGGAUUUUAUGUUUUGUGUGUGAAUUUGGGUCCAUUGUGUAAAUUCAGUAUGUCAACAUGAUAAAAUAACUGUAAAUUCGCACAGGUGAGGUUGUGCUGAAAAAAAAUGAUACCAGGCAAGGCACGUGAUUGUCAAAUUUUGUGUCAAUAUGACAAAGCGUAUAGGCGUGAAUCUCAACAAUAUGUAUUUUCACCUUAGGGGACAAGAAAAAAUGGACUUUUUUCUCCUGCCAUGGGGGGGGCGCUCUUUUGGGGAGUAAAAAUUCCUUCACAAAUGUGUUGAUGGCUGGACAUUGCAUCAUCCUAGAAAACUUGGAGGCCAGUGAGGACAAAAAUAAAAAGUUAUAAGACUUUUAAAUAUGUGGAUUUUAGGGUUGUCUUUGGCGCCCCCUAGAACCUAAACCGUGGGGUGCAGCGUCAUGAUUUGAAUAACUUUUAAUGGCCAUGGGGUGUAGAUUGGCCUGAGCAAAUUUGGUGCCGAUGGGACGAAAGCUUUAGGAGGAGUUAGCCACAAUCCAAUGUGUGCGAAUUGGCAAAAAAUGCGAAAUAGCCCUUUAACCGUACAUUUGACAGAUACGCGCGCAUUGACUUUUUCGUAGAUCUUAUUGAGUUACAUGUGUGUGUCAAUUUUUGUGUCAUUUUGACAAAGCGUAUAGGCGUGACACUCAACAAUGUGUAUUUUCACCUUAGGGGACAAGAAAAAAUGGACUUUUUUCUCCUGCCAUGGGGGGGCGCUCUUUUGGGGAGUAAAAAUUCCUUCACAAAUGUGUUGAUGGCUGGACAUUGCAUCAUCCUAGAAAACUUGGAGGCCAGUGAGGACAAAAAUAAAAAGUUAUAAGACUUUUAAAUAUGUGGAUUUUAGUGUUAUCUUUGGCGCCCCCUAGAACCUAAACCUUGGGGUGCAGCGUCAUGAUUUUGAUAACUUUUAAUGGCCACGGGGUGUAGAUUGGCCUGAGCAAAUGUGGUGCCGGUGGAACGAAAGCCUUCGGAGGAGUUAGCGAAAUUCCAAUGUGUGCGGAUCGGAAAAAAAUGCGAAAUAACCCUUUAACCGUACAUUUGACAGAUACGGCCGCACUGACUUUUUUGUAGAUCUUAUUGAGAUACAUAUGUGUGUCAAUUUUUGUGUCAAUAUGACAAAGCGUACAGGCGUGACAGUCAAUAGUGUGAAUUUCCACCUUAGGGGGCGCUAUGGAGCCAUUUUGCAUUUUAUUGUUUGGGCGACUUCAGAAUAUCGAAUUUUUCACCAGGCCCGGUCGUCCUGCCAAAUUUCAUGAGUUUUUGCCAGUGGGAAGUGGGCCAUUUUCCAGUUCAAAGGGGAGGAAAACGAAGAAAGAAAGAAAGAACUAGGGCCCAGUUGGGGCACUGGCGGGCCCGAGCCGUGUCGCGCCGCCCCCAACACGACCGCCUCUCCCUACCGAUCGCGUCACACUCAAGGUCCAAAGAUGGUGUGCGCACUUGUCUGUGGUCAUUUACAAUUAUAAUGAAUGGGAGGCGCAGUUUCUACCAAAACGCUCGCCGCAGACAAACUACAUGUCCUAUUUGAAAAGGACUGGACCAUGAGUGAGGGCACAAACACAGCUAGGAUAUAUCCAAAUGGCAAGUUGCUCCUCCUUUCGGUUUUGCCGAGAGAGCGAUGUGUUUGAGUCAUUGAGCGAUGGGCAGGAAAAACUUGACUUUUUCUCCUGCCAUGGGGGGCGCUCUUUUAGGGAGUAAAAAUUCCUUCACAAAUGUGUUGAUGGCUAGACAUUGCAUCAUCCUAGAAAACUUGGAGGCCAGUGAGGACAAAAAUAAAAAGUUAUAAGACUUUUAAGAAUGUGGAUUUUUGGGUUAUCUUUGGCGCCCCCUAGAACAUAAACCGUGGGGUGCAGCGUCAUGAUUUUUACAACUUUGAAUGGCCAUGGGGUGUAGAUUGGCCUGAGUAAAUUUGGUGUCAGUGGAACGAAAGAUUUAGGAGGAGUUAGCCACAUUCCAAUGUGUGCGGAUCGACCAAAAAUGCGAAAUAGCCCUUUAACCGUACAUUAUACAGAUACGCGGCCAUUGACUAUUUCGUAGACCUUAUUGAGAAACACGUGAUUGUCAAAGUUUGUUUCAAUAUGACAAAGCGUACAGGCGUGACACUCAAUAAUGUGAAUUUUCACCUUAGGGGGAAGAAAAACUGGACUUUUUUCUCCUGCCAUGGGGGGGCGCUCCUUUGGGGAGUAAAAAUUCCUUCACAAAUGUGUUGAUGGCUAGACAUUGCAUCAUCCUAGAAAACUUGGAGGCCAGUGAGGACAAAAAUAAAAAGUUAUACGACUUUUAAGAAUGUGGAUUUCUGGUUUAUCUUUGGCGCCCCCUAGAACGUAAACCGUGGGAUGCAGCGUCAUGAUUUGUACAACUUUUAAUGGCCAUGGGGUGUAGAUUGGCCUGAGCAAAUUUGGUGCCGGUGGAACGAAAGCCUUCGGAGGAGUUAGCGAAAUUCCAAUGUGUGCGGAUCGGCAAAAAAUGCGAAAUAGCCCUUUAACCGUACAUUUGACAGAUACGCCCGCACUGACUUUUUUGUAGAUCUUAUUGAGAUACACGUGUGUGUCAAAUUUUGUGUCAUUUUGACAAAGCGUACAGGCGUGACACUCAAUCAUGUGAAUUUUUCACCUUAGGGGGCGUUAUGGAGCCAUUUUGCAUUUGAUUUUUUGGGCGACUUCAGAAUAUCGAAUUUUUCACCAGGCCCGGUCGUCCUGCCAAAUUUCAUGACUUUUCACCAGUGGGAAGUGGGCCAUUUUCCAGUUCAAAGGGGCAGAAAAAUAACUAGGGCCCCGCUGGGGCACUGGCGGGCCCGAGCCGUGUCGUGCUGCCCCCAGCGCGACCCCCUCCCCCUCCCGAUCGAGUCACACUCAAGGUCCAAAGAUGGUGUGCGCACUUGUCUGUGGUCAUUUACCAUUAUAAUGAAUGGGAGGCGCAGUUUCUACCAAAACGCUCGCUGCAGACAAACUCCAUGUCCUUUUUGAAAAAAGUCUGGACCAUGAGUGAGGGCACAAACACAGCUUCAAUAUAUCCAAAUGGCAAGUUGCUCCUCCUUUCGGUUUUGCCGAGAGAGCGAUGCGUUUGAGCCAUUGGGCGAUGGGCAGGAAAAACUUAACUUUUUCUCCUGCCAUGGGGGGGCGCUCGUUUGGGGAGAAAAAAUUCUUUCACAAAUGUGUUGAUGGCUGAACAUUGCAUUAUCCUAGAAAACUUGGAGGCCAGUGAGGACAAAAACAAAAAGUUAUAAGACUUUUGAAAUUGUGGAUAUUUGGCGCCCCCUUGAACGUAAACCGUGGAGUGCAGCGUCAUGAUUUGUACAACUUUGAAUGGACAUGGGGUGUAGAUUGGCCUGAGCAAAUUUGGUGCCGAUGGGACGAAAGCUUUAGGAGGAGUUAGCCACAUUCCAAUGUGUGCGAAUC
Molecule: non-coding RNA, 8893 nt
Organism: Xyrichtys novacula (pearly razorfish)
Lineage: Eukaryota; Metazoa; Chordata; Actinopteri; Labriformes; Labridae
Source: the annotation of a GenBank genome assembly